This 497-nucleotide ribosomal RNA is filed under the name uncultured bacterium. RNAcentral describes it as "partial 16S ribosomal RNA". It matches the Rfam family "Bacterial small subunit ribosomal RNA", at positions 28 to 507 of the family's 1533-position model. The record is from RNAcentral.
GAUGAACGCUGGCGGCGUGCCUAAUACAUGCAAGUCGAGCGAACAGAUGAGGAGCUUGCUCCUCUGACGUUAGCGGCGGACGGGUGAGUAACACGUGGAUAACCUACCUAUAAGACUGGGAUAACUUCGGGAAACCGGAGCUAAUACCGGAUAAUAUAUUGAACCGCAUGGUUCAAUAGUGAAAGACGGUUUUGCUGUCACUUAUAGAUGGAUCCGCGCCGCAUUAGCUAGUUGGUAAGGUAACGGCUUACCAAGGCAACGAUGCGUAGCCGACCUGAGAGGGUGAUCGGCCACACUGGAACUGAGACACGGUCCAGACUCCUACGGGAGGCAGCAGUAGGGAAUCUUCCGCAAUGGGCGAAAGCCUGACGGAGCAACGCUGCGUGAGUGAUGAAGGUCUUCGGAUCGUAAAACUCUGUUAUUAGGGAAGAACAAAUGUGUAAGUAACUAUGCACGCCUUGACGGUACCUAAUCAGAAAGCCACGGCUAACUACGUG